RNAcentral lists this ribosomal RNA (1392 nucleotides) under uncultured bacterium. RNAcentral's name for it is "bacterial SSU rRNA". It matches the Rfam family "Bacterial small subunit ribosomal RNA". The record is from RNAcentral.
AGAGUUUGAUCCUGGCUCAGGAUGAACGCUAGCGACAGGCCUAACACAUGCAAGUCGAGGGGCAGCGGGAGUAGCAAUACUUGCCGGCGACCGGCGCACGGGUGCGUAACGGGUAUGCAAUCUGUCCAUAAGCACGGGAUAGCCCACUGAAAGGUGGAUUAAUACUGUAUGUGUCAUUGAGGGGCAUCCCUUGGUGAUGAAACGCGAGGUUUAUGGGUGAGCAUGCUUCUGAUUAGUUAGUUGGUAAGGUAACGGCUUACCAAGGCAUCGAUCAGUAGGGGUCCUGAGAGGGAGAUCCCCCGCAUUGGAACUGAGACACGGUCCAAACUCCUACGGGAGGCAGCAGUGAGGAAUAUUGGUCAAUGGGCGAGAGCCUGAACCAGCCAAGUCGCGUGAAGGAUGAAGGUUCUAUGGAUUGUAAACUUCUUUUAUCUGAGGGUAAAGUGAGCGGUGCGCCGUUCAUUGCAAGUAUCAGAUGAAUAAGCAUCGGCUAACUCCGUGCCAGCAGCCGCGGUAAUACGGAGGAUGCGAGCGUUAUCCGGAUUUAUUGGGUUUAAAGGGUGCGUAGGCGGGCUAUUAAGUCAGCGGUGAAAGUUUGCGGCUCAACCGUAAAAUUGCCGUUGAAACUGGCAGUCUUGAAUGCAAGCGAGGUAAGCGGAAUGUGAUGUGUAGCGGUGAAAUGCUUAGAUAUGUCACAGAACACCGAUUGCGAAGGCAGCUUACCAGUAUGCGAUUGACGCUGAGGCACGAAAGCGUGGGUAUCAAACAGGAUUAGAUACCCUGGUAGUCCACGCAGUAAACGAUGAAUACUAGCUGUUUGCGAUAUAAUGUAAGCGGUAAAGCGAAAGUGUUAAGUAUUCCACCUGGGGAGUACGCCGGCAACGGUGAAACUCAAAGGAAUUGACGGGGGCCCGCACAAGCGGAGGAACAUGUGGUUUAAUUCGAUGAUACGCGAGGAACCUUACCCGGGCUUGAAAGUUAGUGAAAGCAUUUGAAAGAGUGCUGGCUCGCAAGAGACACGAGACUAGGUGCUGCAUGGUUGUCGUCAGCUCGUGCCGUGAGGUGUCGGCUUAAGUGCCAUAACGAGCGCAACCCCUGCCAAUAGUUGCCAUCAAGUUAAGUUGGGAACUCUAUUGGGACUGCUACUGUAAGGUAGAGGAGGGUGGGGAUGACGUCAAAUCAGCACGGCCCUUACGUCCGGGGCGACACACGUGUUACAAUGGGUGGUACAGAGGGUUGCUACUGCGCGAGCAGGUGCUAAUCUCCUAAAACCAUCCUCAGUUCGGAUCGGAGUCUGCAACUCGACUCCGUGAAGCUGGAUUCGCUAGUAAUCGCGCAUCAGCCAUGGCGCGGUGAAUACGUUCCCGGGCCUUGCACUCACCGCCCGUCAAG